UGUGCUCACCUGAAACUUUCAAUUGAGCACAUGAACGUUUCAGGUGAGCACAUGAAACUAAACUUUAGAUUGUUUUUGCUCAUGUCCCCUUAGGGGCUCCGUAUAAAACAGCUAUUUCGGACUGCUGGACAGAAAUCGUGUCAUAUGUAGAGUCAUAUAAGUAGGGUCAUACCGAUAUAUUGCUAGGUCCCCAUUAGCCUAUAUCAUUUUAUUGAAUAGGCAAUUUGCUCAAGUCUUUGUCAGUCACUGGACGACAAGAAGAAAGUUAGGUUGAAAACCGAGGGAGACGAAACUUAAGCUCGUCCACGAACAGCCGUCAUUACUAAGGAUGCCUCAGCUCUACUGUGUACCUGUUCUGACUGUCCAACUAAUUCAAGCUUCUAUUGGUACCAUCGGGAACCCAAUGCUAUGGACCUUACAUGGCGUGAUGAGAAGACAAGCAGACUCAUCUAUGACCAGCCUGGAAAGUAUGCCUGCCUGACGCCUCUCGCCCCAGUAAAUUCCAAAACAUUGAGCUCCUUCCGGGGGGUUCCAGUGGGCGGAAGAUAAUCUAUCUUGUGGUGGUACUCAUCAUAGCUUGUGGCAAUUGCAUUGCUGUGUCUUAAUUAGCAGGGGGAUAUGCCGAUGAGGAGCGUGAGGAGGAAGAAGGGUGCUGAGUAGUGUUGUUUUCAGCGGGGCUGAUUUAAUUUUAGUUUUUUAGUGUAGUAUUUGUGUCAAGCUGUCAUUUUAGUUUUUAUUUGUUUUAGUCACGUUCAUACUCUUUUUAGUUGAGUCAAGUUUCAGUCGACUAAAAGUCUGAGCAUUUUAUUUUAUCUGAGCCUUAUAUAGUCAGAAUUAACCAUGACUACUUCCAGCUGAAGUAGAUCUACUGCAGAGCAGUGGCGUACGUAGCGGUGCUGGG
Long non-coding RNA from Alosa sapidissima (American shad), 901 nucleotides. RefSeq lists it as uncharacterized. The transcript is spliced from 3 exons. NCBI's taxonomy places the organism in Eukaryota, Metazoa, Chordata, Actinopteri, Clupeiformes, Clupeidae. The record is from RefSeq and is a predicted model, not a curated record.